Myodes glareolus (Bank vole) is the source of this 5821-nucleotide non-coding RNA. The record is from RefSeq and is a predicted model, not a curated record. NCBI's taxonomy places the organism in Eukaryota, Metazoa, Chordata, Mammalia, Rodentia, Cricetidae.
AAGUUGUUCAGCCAGCAACCUCUGGCUUUCCCCAAAGAUCCCUAGUGGAGUGCUCAAGUAUCUUGUUGGCUCUUCGCUUGUACGCGUGGAAGACUCAGCAUCCAUUUCCGGGUGACAUCGUGUCUACCACUGCUGCCACCACAGCCCCUUGGGAAAUGUAGUCUCAGAUCGUGCACAGCCUGAGCCUACUUCACUCCCCCCACCCCCCCCCACCCCCGUCCUAAGGAAGCAUCUUUUCCCGCGCGUCGCGCGCGGAGCGCGGGUGGCAGAAACGGAAGUUACGUGCCGCGGUCUGAUUUCUUAGAACCCUAGCUGUCUAGCAUAUGUAACUGAGGAUGACUGAAUUAAUACGAGGCCUCUGCGCGAGUACUGGGAUUACAGAUGAUGCUGUCAGAAAUGUACUCCCUGUGAAGAGAUAAUCUGAGCCCUUUUGUACCAAUGAGAUUAUUAAGAAUAUAGUUUUAAAAUCAUGAUAAAAUCUUGGCUGUCCUGUUCAAGAUUCACAAGCCCACCAGGAUGAAUCAGUGUUUCCACGGAUGCCUUUGGGAGGCAGCUGGAAAGCCUUGACUCAAACCAAGGAUCUUAGACGUACUAACAGUUACUCUACCACUGAACUAUAUCUCUGGCUCUGAGGAAGACAACUUUUACAAAAUGUUGUACUGUUUGCUGGAUUCUAUGACCUCAGAGAGAAGAGGAGGGGGCUCUUCUAGUGAUAAUGGUGUCCAGUACAUGAGGAUGCUUGCUUUUACAGCUGAUCCUACAAGUUGAUAUCAGUUUGCAUCUGAAUUUCUGCCCAGGAAAAUGAAGGACAAGAGCGUACGUUGACCCACCAGGGUGUGUUACUGUGCUUCUGUAGUCUCAGCAUCCAGGGUGUGGCUUCAGCAUGAACAGGCUAUCAAAGGCACAGGCUGAGGGAACAGGGCCAGUGGGCCAUGGACUGAAACAUUUGAAGCUGAUUCUGAGUAAUUAAUGCUUCCAUGAAUAUCUCAGAAGGACAGAUGAACAAAGAAAGGAACAGGUAUCUAACUCUAUUAGGACCCCACCUGGUAACUGCUUAUCUUAGUGCAUUGAUAAGCUCCCUGCCUGUGCAGGACCCCCUCCAGGUAACUGCUUAUCUUAGUGACUAAGCUCCUUGCCUGUGCAGCCCCCCCCCCUCCAGGUAAGUACUUAUCUUAGUGACUUUUAAACUGCCUUCUGCUGUGCAGGCCCCCUUCCUGGUAACCACUUAAUAGUCACUUUUAAACUCUCUGCUUCUGUGAAGCUCCCCUGUAACUGCCAACUGAAAUGCCAGGAUUUAGAUUUUGAUUUCAAAAACCUUGUGCUCUGGACACUCAGUCUGUUGUUACUAGGUGUCCAAAUACUUGGGUUUAGUUCUAGCCAGCUGGAAUAAAGACUUUCAGUUGGGUAUAAAUUGUCUUGAAUUGUCUUCUCUGGUGGGCCCCUGGUAACUCAGGCUCACAGUUUGCUUACUCAAUUUUCCUUUCUCUUCCUCCUUCCUUCCAUGGCAAAAUAUAAUUUUUUUUAAUAAAAGACUAUCAGAAUAUGAGUCUAAAUUUCUACUGCAAUGAACAUCAGAAGGGUUUCAGUUGCAAAUGCCUGCAGGAUCCAGAUGUGGUACAUAUGUGACAUGGUUCCUGGUUGGACCACAGUGAUCACUGAGUAAGAGCUUCAUCCUUGCAUUCUGGUGUCUGCUAUUAUGGUUGGUAUUGACUUUUUCAUUUUCAUCCUUGUCUACAUUAAUAGGUAUGCUUCCACAUUUCCUGUCUACACACUCCCAAGCUCAUAUUUCCUUUUCCUUCUUAUAUACUUGAUCUCUAUUAUCCCAUGCAAAAUCUGUUAAUGUAUGACAAAGAGAAUACACCUUAAUCAACCUCUUCAGCACCCUUUAUUAGUUACUUUUCUAGAACUGUGAACAAAAUGUCAUGUCCAAAUGCAAAUUCGAGAAGAAAAGGGUUUAUUUUUUUGCUCUCAGCUCCAAAAGCAUAUAUAUAUGCUUUUGGAGCAUAUAUAUAUAUAUAUUCCAUGGAAUAUAUAUAUAUAUUCCAUGGCAGGCAGGGAGUCGUGUGGUCCAGCUUGGGGAAGCAGAACGAGUACCCGAAGUAAGGCCCUAAUGGUAUGCCUCUAUGGAGGUUCCAUCCCAAAAGGUGUCCCGUAACAUUCUCAACUGGUACCGCCACCUGAGUUCAAAUCCAUGAGCCUAUGAGGACAGUGCUUUUUCAAGCCACAACAAAGAGUAAAACCUGCAUCUUGUUAGAACAUGGUAAUUUUAUUUGAAAGGACCUCCCUCUUCACUGAUGCAUGCAGAGCUAUUAAGAAAAAAAGACCACUUGGCAAUUGUGAAAACUUGAAAUUUCAGAGAUGGAUUGUGAAUGGUCCGCUGACACAGUUAUGGAGGUGAAGCUGCUGUAAGGGGAACUACAAAGUCUGGAUUACAGACAGCAGUUUUAGAAAGGACUCUUAAGGCGCAAAUGCUAGAGGGUGCAGUUUAUAGGAGAAUGUAGGGCAUGAAUCAACAAACUGGAAGUAAAUGCAGUGCUUUUGAGCCUUGUUGCAGAAUACCAUUUGGUUUCCUUAGUUGCAGAGUGGGCAGUUAACAAGAAUAGCACAUGGCUUAAGUGGUCCUGGACCAAUCUGAGGCCAGGAGUAGACUCUGUCUGUGAAGCCUUAGUAUAAACAGUAUUUAUGUUUUUACUUUGAUUUCAUUUGGUUUCAAACAAGAUCUAGCCAUGUAUUCCUUGAAUAUCUGCAAAUGCUCCUAACUUGGAGCCCUAACUUGGAGCAAUCCUGCUUCUACCUCCCUGUUGCUAUGAUUAAGGACAUGGGCUACUAAACAUGGCACAAAUUCGUGGCUUAGUUCAGUGGUAGAGCAUUUGCCUAGCAGGUAAGGUUCAACUGACAAUAUGAGAAGGGGUGAGUAUAAUAUUUUACAAGUACAUGUGUUCACUUAUCAGAACGAGCUGAGUGAAAGUUAGCAACAUGUAAGUCUUUUUUGGACACAGGGUUUCGCUCUUUGUCCUUGGCUAUCCUGUAACGGGAGCAUACUGUCCCACCUAUCUCAUUUUUCUUUUGAAUAUAAUUUGCUAAGUAUAGGAUCCAUAGCUAUUCUUAGAUGUUAUCAGUAUUUUAAUAGAUUUAACAAUCACUUUUCUCAUGACUAUCUCAUUUUUCUUUUGAAUAUAAUUUGCUGAGGAUAGGAUCCAUAGCUAUUCUUCGAUGUUAUCAGUAUUUUAACAGAUUUAACAAUCACUUUUCUCAUGACUAGUCCCUCAGAGAAGCAAAGCUGCUUUAUAUUUACCCUUGUUUUAAGGUAGACGACUAGGUGAAAGGAAAACAACCAGCCCCACCAGAAAAGAAGUGGCUCUUUUCAGAUACAUACUAACCUUGUUUCCUGGUUUUGUGUGUGUGAACCAUUCCUUUCCAUAUUGCUCCUGUCUUUACACACAUAACAUAGUAAAUGCUUAUAGUGUGGUUGACUACUUACAUACACCACUAACAGUUAAAAAUCCCCAGGUUCUAGAAUCAGAAGAAAGUAUGUUAAAGACGUGGGGUUUUUUUUUCAGCAACAAAAUAAACUUUGCAGAAAAAGAUUGGCCAGUGCAUUUGAAGGUAGCUGCAGAUUCUGUUUAUAAUUCUUUUUCAGUUCGGUAAUGAAAGCUGAAUAUUACCAUAAUCACUGCUCACUGCUGAAAGCUUAUGUUCGUUACUGUGACACCACCCAGCUGAUGUCUUUGACAACCAGAGAAGCGUUACCCAACAGUAAACGACAGUCUCCGAUCUCUCCCUUUUGGCUUGGUCAUCAGAUACUACCUGGAAUUUGUUUGGGGACAAAGAUUGCGGGAGUCAAUAUUGUACUUUAGGAGUCUUGCUUAAUUCUUCUAUCUUGGGGAUGGUUGGGAUAGGUCAUAGGUAUGGAAAACAUCUGACUUUCAAAUGUUUUCCCAAUAAAUUCACAAGGUAAUUUUUAGUCAAGGUUUAUGUCUUAUCAUGAAUCUUUCCACCUCUUUCUUACGUGUCUUAACGGAAUUUUUGUUCUUUACACCUUCCUUUCUGUUACCCCACCCCAAUAUGUUUCAGCAAUCUCUCUUCCUUUCCCUGUUCAGACAUGGAUCAGUGAAACCGGCAUUGUGAAUAAAGAGUUUGAAUUUCGGGAGUGGAAUCCAUGAUGCUCUCAGCAUGUAAUGGCAGGAGUGGCGCACAAAGAGGAUAUAGAGGAAGGCUGUCCAAAGAACAAAUGCUUGACAUUUUGGCAGAUAUUGGACCACUAAGCUCUUAUCAAUGAAAGGAGACUGUUUGGUUCCCCUAGGGAGAAAGCGAUGAAGGUGUCGCUCAUCAGUGGGUCCAGGACCUGAAGGAACAAGAGAAACAAUACCCAGUGGACAACAAUGUGGCAUAUUGGGUGAAAACUAUUGAAAAAUGUCAUGUUCUUUGAUAAAUACUAUAUAGUCUACAUCGGAUAUGGACUUUACUGGAUUUAUUUAGACACUGCCAUAUUACUCUACUUUUGGAGCCUGGUUAAUUUUUUUAUAGUAUGUAACAUUUUAAUCAUUUUCUUGAGAAUUAACUUCUACCAAGGAAUUCUUUUAUUUGAAGACUUCAUAAAGGUGCUUUUGAAUUAUUCACAUUACAGUUACACAAAUCAUAAUCCUCCCAGUAGUGAAUAAAUGUGAAUAUUUCUUUAAACCAUCAGAAUAUAACCUGUUUAUAAGGUUCUAGUCUAGUAACUACACAAGUAAUGUGUCUUUCUUCAGAUGCUCCUGUCACUUUAGUAUCUGCUCUUAGUCACUGGGGAUUGUUGGUUUAUGGAGAGGAACUGUGUUACCCUGACUGGCCUUCAAUUGUACAGUAGAAUUACAGGUGGACGCCACCAUACCCAGCAAUCGGAGUCUACGCAAAUGAGUGAAUUUUCCUAUGGAGGCUGGAGGUUUUCUAUGCAGCUGGAAUUGCAAGCAGUUAUAAACUUCCUGACAUGGAUGCUGGGAAUGCAAAUUAUGUCCAGUGUAAGAACACUAUGCCCUUCUAAUCACUAGGUGAUCCCUCUGGCACCUUGGGUACAAGUUUUGUGUGAUAAGCUAACCAUGGGAGCGAGUUCAAUUUUUUUUUUUCAGUUUUCAUGUAAGGUAAUUUUAAUAGCUCUCUGAAAAUUUUAGCAAUUAGGGUUUGGUCUCAAUUCCUUCAGGGCAUUCGGUACUUGAGAGUUUAUUUUUUUUGUCUGAGUACCUCUCUGCUUAAGUGUGCUUUGCUGCCCCUUUUAUUGGAUGUUCCCUCAUCUGUUGAACUUUCAGAUUUUUCAUUCAAACUUGGCAAAAAAAACUUUUGUAAAUUAUAUUGUUGAGUAAUAUGUUCUCCCCGCUAUUUCUUGUAUUUUAUAUUUUUACCUGUCGUUUAAAGCUGAUGUUUAGUUACUAAAUUUUUGGAAUCAUACAGCAUUGUUUGGUACACUGUAUAAGAACCUUUAUAAAUAGUUUCACCCAGGGAGUGUAUCUUAGAUUAUAUUUGUUUGUUUUGUUUUUUCAAGACCUGGUUGUUCUAGCUGUACCAAUUUAAAGUACUUUUUUGGAUUAAAGUAGACUCUAUUCUAUCAUUUUUGUGCCCUCUCUUUUCUUUUUAGAACGAAAUCCCCGAUUCUAAUCUGUAUUUUGGGAAUGUCGGUAUAGUUCUUCCUGCGAUUUGUGGGCUGUGGUAGUCUUUGGGAUACCCUGAGAAAACAGCUGGAACUGUUAAGCAGAGAAACCUUGUCUCACGAAAAAAAUUAAGAUUACAUUGAGUUAACCUUUAGCUUUAAAGUCAAAAUCAAUAAAUAACGGCUGAUGGCCCUACAGUC